This 508-nucleotide ribosomal RNA is filed under the name uncultured bacterium. Its description in RNAcentral is "bacterial SSU rRNA". It matches the Rfam family "Bacterial small subunit ribosomal RNA", at positions 30 to 528 of the family's 1533-position model. The record is from RNAcentral.
AUUGAACGCUGGCGGCAUGCCUUACACAUGCAAGUCGAACGGUAACAGGUCUUCGGAUGCUGACGAGUGGCGAACGGGUGAGUAAUACAUCGGAACGUGCCCGAUCGUGGGGGAUAACGCAGCGAAAGCUGUGCUAAUACCGCAUACGAUCUACGGAUGAAAGCGGGGGAUCGCAAGACCUCGCGCGGACGGAGCGGCCGAUGGCAGAUUAGGUAGUUGGUGGGAUAAAAGCUUACCAAGCCGACGAUCUGUAGCUGGUCUGAGAGGACGACCAGCCACACUGGGACUGAGACACGGCCCAGACUCCUACGGGAGGCAGCAGUGGGGAAUUUUGGACAAUGGGGGAAACCCUGAUCCAGCCAUGCCGCGUGCAGGAUGAAGGCCUUCGGGUUGUAAACUAGCUUUUGUUACGGAACGAAAAGGUACCUUUCUAAUAAAGAAGGGCGUCAUGACGGUACCGUAAGAAUAAGCACCGGCUAACUACGUAGCCAGCAGCCGCGGUAAGAGU